Molecule: ribosomal RNA, 468 nt
Filed under: uncultured bacterium
Lineage: Bacteria
Description: partial 16S ribosomal RNA
Rfam family: Bacterial small subunit ribosomal RNA
Source: RNAcentral
GACGAACGCUGGCGGCGUGCUUAACACAUGCAAGUCGAACGGAAAGGCCCUGCUUUUGUGGGGUGCUCGAGUGGCGAACGGGUGAGUAACACGUGAGUAACCUGCCCUUGACUUUGGGAUAACUUCAGGAAACUGGGGCUAAUACCGGAUAGGAGCUCCUGCUGCAUGGUGGGGGUUGGAAAGUUUCGGCGGUGGGGGAUGGACUCGCGGCUUACCAGCUUGUUGGUGGGGGAGUGGCUUACCAAGGCUUUGACGGGUAGCCGGCCUGGGAGGGUGGCCGGCCACAUUGGGCCUGAGGUACGGCCCAGACUCCUACGGGAGGCAGCAGGGGGAAAUAUUGCACAGUGGGCGGAAGCCUGAUGCAGCGGCGCCGCGUGCGGGAUGACGGCCUUCGGGUUGUAAACCGCUUUCGCCUGUGACGAAGCGUGAGUGACGGUAAUGGGUAAAGAAGCACCGGCUAACUACGUG